AUCCGAAUUGAUUCGAGGCCCAGGUCGUC
This 29-nucleotide small RNA is filed under the name Bombyx mori (domestic silkworm). RNAcentral describes it as "ovarian small RNA-4601". Lineage: Eukaryota; Metazoa; Arthropoda; Insecta; Lepidoptera; Bombycidae. The record is from RNAcentral.